RNAcentral lists this transfer RNA (74 nucleotides) under Caudoviricetes sp. Its description in RNAcentral is "tRNA-Val". It matches the Rfam family "tRNA". From Rfam's summary of the family: Transfer RNA (tRNA) molecules are approximately 80 nucleotides in length. Their secondary structure includes four short double-helical elements and three loops (D, anti-codon, and T loops). Lineage: Duplodnaviria; Heunggongvirae; Uroviricota; Caudoviricetes. The record is from RNAcentral.
UGUACUAUAGCUCAGUGGUCUAGAGCGCCAGGCAGACGGCCUGGAGGUCACCGGUUCGAAUCCGGUUGGUACAA